This 251-nucleotide unclassified non-coding RNA is filed under the name Hevea brasiliensis (rubber tree). The record is from RNAcentral. Lineage: Eukaryota; Viridiplantae; Streptophyta; Magnoliopsida; Malpighiales; Euphorbiaceae.
GACAACAUUCAAUUUCACCGUACAAGAUUUGAGGGGAUCCACAUCCGAGACUGUCUAGAAGUAGGAUGAUUAACAAGAAGGCAUAGAAUGAAGUUGUGGAACAACAAUAAAACGCAAUUCAUCAACUGCAUUCUGAGCUCUUCGAAAAUUGACAACUGGAUCAGGGGCAGAAGGCCGGAUUAUGGCUUGGUUACGGGCUUUCCAAAUGUUCCAGCGCAAGUAGCUUACGGUGCACUUUGAAUUUUCUUAAU